This 259-nucleotide ribosomal RNA is filed under the name uncultured Staphylococcus sp. RNAcentral's name for it is "partial 16S ribosomal RNA". It matches the Rfam family "Bacterial small subunit ribosomal RNA", at positions 103 to 354 of the family's 1533-position model. Lineage: Bacteria; Bacillati; Bacillota; Bacilli; Caryophanales; Staphylococcaceae. The record is from RNAcentral.
CGGGUGAGUAACACGUGGAUAACCUACCUAUAAGACUGGGAUAACUUCGGGAAACCGGAGCUAAUACCGGAUAAUAUAUUGAACCGCAUGGUUCAAUGGUGAAAGACGGUUUUGCUGUCACUUAUAGAUGGAUCCGCGCUGCAUUAGCUAGUUGGUAAGGUAACGGCUUACCAAGGCAACGAUGCGUAGCCGACCUGAGAGGGUGAUCGGCCACACUGGAACUGAGACACGGUCCAGACUCCUACGGGAGGCAGCAGAG